This 365-nucleotide long non-coding RNA is filed under the name Triticum aestivum (bread wheat). RNAcentral's name for it is "long non-coding RNA (TAES_LNC008523)". The record is from RNAcentral. Lineage: Eukaryota; Viridiplantae; Streptophyta; Magnoliopsida; Poales; Poaceae.
AGGCUUUGGGUCGGGCGUGGGCUUGGGAUCAGGCUUUGGCCCCGGUUUAGGGUCGGGCUGCGGGUCUGGUUUGGGGUCGGGCUUGGGCGUCGGGUCAGGUUUUGGCGCCGGUUUAGGGUCGGGCUUGGGUGUUGGGUCAGGUUUUGGCGCCGGUUUUGGGUCUGGCUGCGGGUCUGGUUUCGGGUCAGGUUUUGGCGCGAGUUUAGGGUCGGGCUUAGGUGUCGGCGCGAGUUUAGGGUCGGUCUGCGGGUCUGGUUUGGGGUCAGGCUGUGGCGUAGGCUUCGGCUCUAGGCUGGGCUCAUGUUUCAGCUCCGGCGCCCUCCCAGCGACGGCGAGGCUAGCAACAUUUGCCGCGACGAGGGCCA